This is a long non-coding RNA of Xiphophorus couchianus (Monterrey platyfish), 2629 nucleotides long. RefSeq lists it as uncharacterized. The record is from RefSeq and is a predicted model, not a curated record. The transcript is spliced from 3 exons. Lineage: Eukaryota; Metazoa; Chordata; Actinopteri; Cyprinodontiformes; Poeciliidae.
CUUUUGCAUAUCUUCCAGAUAAUACAGCUGCGUGAUUGCAUUUGCCAUUAGCGGGCGGCUGCGUCACCGUCCCCCUUAUUGGUUUGAAAUUCCAUUAAACAUAUUGCUCCAGCUCCCAGGUUUAAGCUUGAUUUACAUUUGCAUACAUUUUCAUACAUUUAGAAGAAAUAAAAAGAAGGCUGCAGCGGCGACCAGAAAGUCAUUAGAAGAGCGGAGAGAGAGGCACAAGCUGCGCUGACGGAGAACCGAGGCUGAGACCGAGGCGGGGGGGGAGAGAGAAAAGAGGCCGGAGCAGGUGCUGCCGGCAGCAGAGGCUGGUGCUGUUACAGGGUCACAGAAAGGAGCCAUGUUGGUUUUAACAACAACAAAAAAAAGGACAUAAAAGUUUACCAUCUGUUAAAUUUCAAACCGCUCACAUAAACCCGGAGCCUCCUGCACAGAGAUCACUGAAGAGGGGGGGAAAAAACGUAGAGAAGCAUGACGUGAGCUCUUCAGCACCUCUAACCCUCCCCCCCCCCCCCCCCCACACACACACACCUCCUCCUCACACACACACACACCUCCUCCUCACACACACACACACCUCCUCCUCCUCUGCCGAGUUUGAGAAGAGGCUCGUCGCCGAGGCCUCCGAUGGCACCUCGGAGCCAAAUGAAGAAGAAAAAGAGGCCAAAGUUGUUGCAAAAACGUCCCACAUGAAAUCGGCUUUCCUCCUGGAGAAAUCUCGUUCAGAAGUCAAAAGUGUGGUCGAUGUUUAAUGAAUGGCCCCCGCAAGUUUUGUGCAGGAUGUGAGCAAGUUCUCUGCCACUGCUAAACAACCAGCUGACAUACUUUCCCCCUGUGGAGCACACAAACCCACCCACAUACACACACACACACACACCAACACACACACACACACACACACACACCAACACACACACACAGACAGGUCCCUCUGAAGGAGCAGGCGGAGCUGGCAGUUGCACAUCUGCAUUUCAAACACAGACUCUCUGGGAUUCAUUAUUAAUUAGCCUGCUGAGCCCUGGAGGACUGGUGAUGCUGCCAUCUCUCUUACACACACACACACACACACACACACACACACAUACUCACGCACGCAGAAAAACACGCUCAUAAAAUGCUCAGGCACACACACACACACACACACCUCGUGACCCCGGUGCCCCCCUCUACACUUUAGAAAGUCCUCGGCUGAAUACCGAGCUGUGCAAGCGCGUUGCUUUUCCUCCCUCCCUCCAAUCACGUCGCAUCUUCCUAAUGCCUGCUGCAGGUGCUACAACAUCUACACCUACAGGAAAGACAUGGCUGCGUCCCUGCAUCCGCCCAGCAUCCACCCGUCUGCCAUUGGAGGUACAGGUGGGCAGCGUGUGAUCUCCCAGCACACAUCAUCACCUCUCCGCCUGCUUCCCUCCGGGGCCCCGGCGCGGCCCCCAGUCAGGGUUAGAAGCUCUGGCAGCAAUUUGAAUGUAAUUGCAUAAGUGAGCAAGACACCGCCAUCAUCGCCGUCUGCCUCCGAACUCUUUCAUGUCAACUGGAAGCCGCUGCUCAGCCGUCACUUUCUAUCUCCAUCCAAGCUAAGGCAGCUAACAGCGAAGCGCUCUCACACACCCCGUGAAGACCAGCGCCUCUCGGACCGACUGGAUCGGAAUCAGAGCGCUUCCUGGUUUUUGGGGACGGCGAGCGGUGCUCCGACGACCGAGAUCCGCUUCCCUGCAACACAGCCCGGCCUUUGUUGGAUGCAGAGGGAAGAAUCUGGGCCGAUCGCAAGAGAUCUGCACAAAUGUUGUUACAAGGUCUCGCUCCGAAAGGGAAUUCUCAUUCCCCUCCACCUCCACUUGGAACAUUCCCCCCUUUCUUUCAAAGAAUUGUGCGUGUAUGAUUUUUGGUUUCGUACCAAUUCCACCUGGAGUCUCGGAGCAAAGAAUAACAAAUACGGGAAACAUUUCAUCCAGAAUAAUAUGUUUGUCCAGAGACCUGUGGACUUUGGGAGGAAUGGACCCCCUGUGAUGUGGUCUGCUGCCAGUGUGUGUGUUUGUGUGUGUGUGGGUUCCUGUGUGUUUGGGUUGGACGUGUAAGACGGGUGAAGAGACUCUCCACCCCCCCAGGGCCAGGAACUCUGGGUACAGAGGAAGAGAGACCAACACACUCUCAGAUUUCCAAAGGGUGCGUGUGUGAGUGUGUGUGUGUGUGAGUGUGUGGGCGCAAACGCUGAUAUGUAUCUGUGAUACAGGAUGUGACAAAAAGUGGGCAAACAGGCAGGGCACUAAUGGGGUAAAAACUAGAAGUAUCUCUGUUAUGCUUCCUUAAACAGAAUAAGGCGAUUUCCUUCUUCACUCAUUUUAUCUUAAAAACCUCCAGGACUUUCAGAGAGCAGCAGGACUAAUGCUGAGAUGAAAUCACACAAAGCUGGACACAAAUAACUAGUGUUCACAUGGCAACCCCAUCAUAAGCAUUUAAAGUAGCAUUUUAUUAGCACGACGACUUCUGAUGGACAAGACGUCUCCCUCAAACCUGAUGAUUUUCAUUCGAUUGUCGUUGUGUCUCUGAUGUGAAGGAAAAAAUAACCCGAACUGAAUUUAUAGCAGAUAUGUUCUGAAAACAACAAAUAAAAUGUCUGUUUCCAGUC